This is a long non-coding RNA of Amphiprion ocellaris (clown anemonefish), 2449 nucleotides long. The record is from Ensembl. NCBI's taxonomy places the organism in Eukaryota, Metazoa, Chordata, Actinopteri, Pomacentridae.
AAUUUUUCUAUCUUUUAUUGCAAAACACAAACAAAUAUAAACAAUAAAGCUAAUAAACAACAUCUGUUCAAAUUGUUCUAAAAGUUUUUCCUGUCACAUUCAUUAUUUUUACUUUGUUUCUUCUCUUGCUGUUGUCGUGUUUGCAGUUUUAAAAUAUCAAAAUAAACGUUUAAAUUUCAUCUGUUUAUUAACACUUUCUGACAAACUGAUGGGCUUUAACAGGACAAGGCAGUGAAUGCUUUAAAAUAUAAACUGAAUGAUUUUUGAUGCCCAGUUUCAUUUACGGUCAUCUUUAUGAUGUGUCUUUAUUUUAGCGUUUAUUUUCUCUACAGAACAACAGAACUAAAUACUGUAAGUGCUACUCGCCGACAAAAGUGCUGGUGUUUGAUUCACCGUGAGACUGCAUAUGUGAAAAUGUUCCAAGAGAAACUGUGGAGAAGUGAAGUUUAUAAAAUAAAAAGCAAACUAACAGAGAGAGAAUCACAUUUACAGACACAACAGGACGUUCAUGUGCUCUUAGUUUAGAGGAUCUGGAUUGUUUUAUAAAAAAUAUGUCGUCACCAUCAGAAUCUGUUAGCAGCCCUUAACGUUAAAGGCUUCUACUGUUCUUUAUUUAUGAUCAAUAGUACGGAAGUUUAUUUAUAUCAAAACUAGAGUUCAGUCCUUAAUAGUAGUUAAAAAAAAAACAUUUCCAUAAUUUAUUUUUGCUUGACCCUCUGAAACCCAAAACUUCCUGGUGGGUUUGAAAGUCAAGUUUGUUUGUUUGUUUGUUUGUUUUUUAAUUACAAAAAUAACACUAUUAUCAGCCAGAAACUGUGAAAACAGACACAAUCUUCAGAUUUUCAACUUUCAGGGCAUCCUUGAAUUGUCUUUGAUAAGUUUCUGUCAUGAAAAUUAAUCAUAUCUUACCUUAAAAUUAUGAUAUCUUAUCAAAAUCACUUUAUUCUACAUGUCUCAUGUAAAAAUAUGUUUAAAAUAAAUUGUUUGCUCCAGCAAGAAUCUGUAAAAUAACAAAAAUUCUGCUUCUCCAGUGCAAGUGCGAAGCCAUUAGUGACUCAGCUGUGACCAACAGUCACGUGAUUAAAAUUUAGAGACUAUUCGGUUGAACUGCAGGCAGUGUUAACACAGAGCAGAGAGGAGGCAAGUAUGAAAACUAAUUAAAAAUAUAAGAAGUAAAAUCUUUAAUGUGUUGAGUUCACAUUUAUUUUUCCAGUAUUGGUAAGCUGUACAUUUGGGGAUGGAAAAAAAAGUUGAUUCCAGUUUUUUUAUUUUUUUAAAUAAGCAAUAAACUAUAUUGUCUUUUAUUCGUGGCAUUAUAAUUGUGUCAAACUGCACAGGAGAGACUUCUGAGUCCUCUCUAAUUCAAUCAUGGUUGUUCUGUUUCCAUAGAGGUGCAGAACUUUAUACUGCAGUGAAAAAUGAGCCCACAGUCAAUUCAAAUGUGACAUGAACAAAAAAACAUCUUCUCGGGGUUCAGUGGGUUAAACAAGGUGGCUGCAUAGUUUUAGUCGGUCUUCUUGGCCACUAAGGACCUACAAAACCCAACAUUUUUGCGUUACAGUGGAACUAUAUUUUCUGGUUUUGGGGUUUUUUUGAGUGUUAAAAUACUAGUUAAAAUUUCACACAGGCCCUGAAGUCACCUCGAACUGUCUCCAUGAAGGAGAAUCUCCAGUUUGGAGGAGGAGCUCGCUGAAGUCCAAAAAUAAACUGUUUGAGUUCGUUACUGUUGGAAAGACAAAGACUUAUAUCUUCACAUGAGUCAUUUGGGAAUAAGAAGGGCUUUUAUGAACACUGAAAAAUCAAUAAUCAUUGACUGGUUGCAGACUCCCAAUUCUUCUCUGAGGGAAUAAUAAAUAGACCCUUCCCUCAGGUUUUUUGUCUUAAUUACCUCAAAUAAUUGAAGUAAAAUUAAAACAACAAACAGUAAAACACAACUUAAUCUUGAAAUCCAAAACAGGCCACAACAUGAACAAUUAAAAGCGUGACACAGUUCAUGUUCAGUGGUGCAAAUUUCUAACAAAUGCACAAUUCUUGAAAUCUUGUGGAUGUUUGACUACAAGAUUGAGUAUGUUCAUGGGAAACAAAAAUUAUUUUACUACAUUUGGUGUCAGUGUUUUAGCAAAGUAACAAAUAGAUCAAUUAAUAUAAUUUCUUCAUGAAUUAUAAACGUUUAAAGUUUUAACCUGCUGUUAUGAAUAUAAAUGUCAUUUCUAGAAGACAGGUUGACUACAGUUUUGGUAUAAAUAAACUUCAUAUUUAUUACCAGCAGAUAUAAUAAAAUGUUCAAACCACGGUCCUGUCAUCUUUCUGCCACCUUCAGGUGUUAAAAAUGUGAUUCCUCAUGUGAUGAAGUUCAUCUGUUUUAUGAGUUCAGAACUCCACUGCUGAAGUAAAGAUGCUCUGUGAUUGGCUGAAAUCCACCUGGACAGCCAUGUUUAGGAGGGGGGAG